AGUUCGGAACGGAUAAACGCUGAAGGCAUCUAAGCGUGAAGCCGCCCUUAAGAUUAGAUUUCCCUUACCAUAAGGUAGUAAGUCCCCUUAUAGAUCACAAGGUUGAUAGGCGAAAGGUACACGCAUGGUAACAUGGUCAGCUGAUUCGUACUAAUUGGACGAGGGCUUGUCCUU
This 174-nucleotide ribosomal RNA is filed under the name Clostridiales bacterium. Its description in RNAcentral is "partial 23S ribosomal RNA". It matches the Rfam family "Bacterial large subunit ribosomal RNA", at positions 2752 to 2925 of the family's 2925-position model. Lineage: Bacteria; Bacillati; Bacillota; Clostridia; Eubacteriales. The record is from RNAcentral.